AAAGGUAAGCUAUUAAGAGCGAAUGGUGGAUGCCUUGGCUGGUAAAGGCGAUGAAGGACGUACUAGACUGCGAUAAGCUACGGGGAGCUGUCAAGAAGCUUUGAUCCGUAGAUUUCCGAAUGGGGCAACCCAGUAUAUAGAGAUAUAUACUACCAUAAUGGAGCGAACGUAGGGAAUUGAAACAUCUUAGUACCUACAGGAAAAGAAAUCAAUAGAGAUUGCGUCAGUAGCGGCGAGCGAAAGCGCAAGAGGGCAAACCCAGUGCUUGCACUGGGGGUUGUAGGACUGCAAUGUGCAAUAGGUAAGGUUAGUAGAACACUCUGGAAAGUGUAGCCAUAGAGGGUGAUAGUCCCGUAUACGAAAACCAAACCUUAGCUAGCAGUAUCCUGAGUAGGGCGGGACACGAGGAAUCCUGUCUGAAGCUGGGUCGACCACGAUCCAACCCUAAAUACUACUACCAGACCGAUAGUGCACAAGUACCGUGAGGGAAAGGUGAAAAGAACUGAGGUGAUCAGAGUGAAAUAGAACCUGAAACCAUUUGCUUACAAUCAUUCAGAGCACUAUGUAGCAAUACAGUGUGAUGGACUGCCUUUUGCAUAAUGAGCCUGCGAGUUGUGGUGUCUGGCAAGGUUAAGCACACGCGAAGCCGUAGCGAAAGCGAGUCUGAAUAGGGCGCUUAAGUCAGAUGCUGCAGACCCGAAACGAAGUGAUCUAUCCAUGAGCAAGUUGAAGCUAGUGUAAGAACUAGUGGAGGACUGAACCGAUAGGCGUUGAAAAGCCCCCGGAUGACUUGUGGAUAGGGGUGAAAGGCCAAUCAAACUUCGUGAUAGCUGGUUCUCUCCGAAAUAUAUUUAGGUAUAGCGUUGUGUCGUAGUAUAAGGGGGUAGAGCACUGAAUGGGCUAGGGCAUACACCAAUGUACCAAACCCUAUCAAACUCCGAAUACCUUAUAUGUAAUCACAGCAGUCAGGCGGCGAGUGAUAAAAUCCGUCGUCAAGAGGGAAACAACCCAGACUACCAGCUAAGGUCCCUAAAUCUUACUUAAGUGGAAAACGAUGUGAAGUUACUUAAACAACCAGGAGGUUGGCUUAGAAGCAGCCAUCCUUU
Molecule: ribosomal RNA, 1106 nt
Filed under: Campylobacter lari
Lineage: Bacteria; Pseudomonadati; Campylobacterota; Epsilonproteobacteria; Campylobacterales; Campylobacteraceae
Description: partial 23S ribosomal RNA
Rfam family: Bacterial large subunit ribosomal RNA
Source: RNAcentral